Achroia grisella is the source of this 512-nucleotide long non-coding RNA. RefSeq lists it as uncharacterized. The record is from RefSeq and is a predicted model, not a curated record. The transcript has 3 exons. NCBI's taxonomy places the organism in Eukaryota, Metazoa, Arthropoda, Insecta, Lepidoptera, Pyralidae.
GUUUGUGACUGCGUCAUUGUGGUAAACAUUUCGCUUAUGUAAUGAGAUAUGAUUGUAAAUGACCGUGAAAAAAGUUUAAAACAAGAACAGCUAUGGCUUAUGAAAACCAACGCUGCACAGGAGCAUCCUGUCCGCAUACGCUGAACCGGCCCUUUCGCCAUCUUUAAUGAACUAUCUGCGAGCGAAAGUCCUGUCAAAAUCGGACCAGCCGUUUCAAAGAUUAACCAGAGCGAACAGGCAGACAAAUUUUUAAAAUUAAUAUUUUACAUUAGCUGAUUGCGAUGACAUCAGACAACGUAAUAUGUUGCCUUUGUAUUCAAUAAUGCACAAAAUACCAGUCUAACUCGACUGUCAAUGUCUAAAAAACUCACAGGAAACUGAUGGAAGUAGCAACAAAUACCUAUAUGAAGAACAGUAUGGAUAUCAUAUCGUCAUGCGAUGACUGUCUCCUCAUGUGCUGUAAUUCAAGACAACCUACAUAGACCUCAUGCUUCCGUCCUCUGUAAUUUCAC